This 253-nucleotide ribosomal RNA is filed under the name uncultured bacterium. RNAcentral's name for it is "partial 16S ribosomal RNA". It matches the Rfam family "Bacterial small subunit ribosomal RNA", at positions 524 to 776 of the family's 1533-position model. The record is from RNAcentral.
UACGUAGGGGGCAAGCGUUGUUCGGAAUUACUGGGCGUAAAGGGCGCGUAGGCGGCCCGGCAAGUCAGGAGUGAAAGCCCGGGGCUCAACCCCGGAAUGUCUUUUGAAACUGCCGAGCUAGAGUGCGGAAGAGGCAACUGGAAUUCCCAGUGUAGCGGUGAAAUGCGUAGAUAUUGGGAAGAACACCUGAGGCGAAGGCGGGUUGCUGGGCCGACACUGACGCUGAGGCGCGAAAGCCAGGGGAGCGAACGGG